GAUGAACGCUGGCGGCGUGCUUAGCACAUGCAAGUCGAACGGGAAAUAUUUCAUUGAGACUUCGGUGGAUUUGAUUUAUUUCUAGUGGCGGACGGGUGAGUAACGCGUGGGUAACCUGCCUUAUACAGGGGGAUAACAGUCAGAAAUGGCUGCUAAUACCGCAUAAGCGCACAGAGCUGCAUGGCUCAGUGUGAAAAACUCCGGUGGUAUAAGAUGGACCCGCGUUGGAUUAGCUAGUUGGUGGGGUAACGGCCCACCAAGGCGACGAUCCAUAGCCGGCCUGAGAGGGUGAACGGCCACAUUGGGACUGAGACACGGCCCAGACUCCUACGGGAGGCAGCAGUGGGGAAUAUUGCACAAUGGGGGAAACCCUGAUGCAGCGACGCCGCGUGAAGGAAGAAGUAUCUCGGUAUGUAAACUUCUAUCAGCAGGGAAGAUAGUGACGGUACCUGACUAAGAAGCCCCGGCUAACUACGUG
RNAcentral lists this ribosomal RNA (478 nucleotides) under uncultured bacterium. Its description in RNAcentral is "partial 16S ribosomal RNA". It matches the Rfam family "Bacterial small subunit ribosomal RNA", at positions 28 to 507 of the family's 1533-position model. The record is from RNAcentral.